CCUGGAGUGGUUCAGCGGUAGAACACCCGGCUCGUGACCGGGAAGGCGCGAGUUCGAAUCUCGCCUCCAGGUC
Molecule: transfer RNA, 73 nt
Filed under: Amycolatopsis oliviviridis
Lineage: Bacteria; Bacillati; Actinomycetota; Actinomycetes; Pseudonocardiales; Pseudonocardiaceae
Description: tRNA-Thr
Rfam family: tRNA
About the family: Transfer RNA (tRNA) molecules are approximately 80 nucleotides in length. Their secondary structure includes four short double-helical elements and three loops (D, anti-codon, and T loops).
Source: RNAcentral